ACAUUAAUGGGGUAGUGGUAACCUGGGUCAUUGCCAUCGACCCGCCGGGGGUUCGAUUCCCACUUAAUGCA
Molecule: transfer RNA, 71 nt
Filed under: Dichomitus squalens
Lineage: Eukaryota; Fungi; Basidiomycota; Agaricomycetes; Polyporales; Polyporaceae
Also listed under: 1 other name
Description: tRNA-Gly
Rfam family: tRNA
About the family: Transfer RNA (tRNA) molecules are approximately 80 nucleotides in length. Their secondary structure includes four short double-helical elements and three loops (D, anti-codon, and T loops).
Source: RNAcentral